UGGGGAAUAUUGGACAAUGGGGGGAACCCUGAUCCAGCAAUGCCGCGUGUGUGAAGAAGGCCUGCGGGUUGUAAAGCACUUUAGUUGGGGAGGAAAGAGCGAAGGUGAAUAGCCUUUGAAGUGACGUUACCCAAAGAAUAAGCACCGGCUAACUCCGUGCCAGCAGCCGCGGUAAUACGGAGGGUGCGAGCGUUAAUCGGAAUUACUGGGCGUAAAGCGUGUGUAGGCGGUUAAUUAAGUCAGAUGUGAAAGCCCCGGGCUCAACCUGGGAACUGCAUUUGAUACUGGUUGACUAGAGUACGGUAGAGGGCAGUGGAAUUUCUGGUGUAGCGGUGAAAUGCGUAGAUAUCAGAAGGAACACCGAUGGCGAAGGCAGCUGCCUGGGCCGAAACUGACGCUGAGAUACGAAAGCGUGGGGAGCAAACA
Molecule: ribosomal RNA, 426 nt
Filed under: uncultured bacterium
Lineage: Bacteria
Description: bacterial SSU rRNA
Rfam family: Bacterial small subunit ribosomal RNA
Source: RNAcentral